This 266-nucleotide signal recognition particle RNA is filed under the name Texcoconibacillus texcoconensis. Its description in RNAcentral is "Bacterial large signal recognition particle RNA". It matches the Rfam family "Bacterial large signal recognition particle RNA". From Rfam's summary of the family: The signal recognition particle (SRP) is a universally conserved ribonucleoprotein involved in the co-translational targeting of proteins to membranes. Archaeal SRP consists of a 7S RNA and homologues of the eukaryotic SRP19 and SRP54 proteins. The record is from Rfam by way of RNAcentral. Lineage: Bacteria; Bacillati; Bacillota; Bacilli; Caryophanales; Bacillaceae.
CCGUGCUAGGUGGGGAGGUAGCGGUGCCCUGUACUCGCAAACCGCUAUAGCGAGACUGAAUCCCUUCUUGAGGUUCCAUAACUUCAGGGUCUGACCUAAGUAAGUGGUGUUGACGCCUGGGUUCUACGCAACGGAAAGCCGUAAACCCUGUCAGGUCCGGAAGGAAGCAGCAGUAAGCGGUCCCUUCCGUGUGCCGUAGAGUUGCCUGGGCCGAGCAAACUGCUUAGGUAACGCUUGAGGCUAUGGAAUCAAGGGAAGGUGCACGG